Molecule: long non-coding RNA, 1674 nt
Filed under: Cricetulus griseus (Chinese hamster)
Lineage: Eukaryota; Metazoa; Chordata; Mammalia; Rodentia; Cricetidae
Description: lncRNA (ENSCGRG00015030668.1)
Source: RNAcentral
CAUCUAUCCUAUCUUGGAAGGAGGCGGGAGCCAUGGAGGUGGCUGGGAGAGCAGCUUGGCCUGUCUAGGUGAAAGGAGACUGGAAACUAUAAACCAUUUCAUGCUUAUUUAUUUUAUGAUCCUCGUGGGCUGGGGUUUACACAAAUUGAACAACAUGUGGAUUAGAUAAUUUGCCAAGGAUGAACAGCCUCCUCCGAUGUUUAUCAGGUUUGGAGGCGAUUAAAGCCAGGUUGAUGAGGACGCUUUGGUGAUGAGUUGAUGGUGGAAUUCCUGUCAAGGAGACACAGAGGCUCCUCACCAAGCCGUAAAUCCCUGCAGGGGAUGGCACAGUGGAGGGGCUGGUCAGAUAUCAAGGGGAGAAGUAACUUUCCAGAUUCUGUUACAUCGCUGAGGGACAGACCCAAAGCAAACCAUAGGCAACUUCAGAGGUACCCUGUGAUAGUUUAGAAAACACUGGCUUCCUAGUGAGUCCAUUCCAAAGCACCGUUAAAGGACUAGCCAAAGACAAAUAACUUGAAUGUGAUCCUUUGCCUAAGGACAGUGGCAGUCAGGUUUUCCUCCAGCUUCUUCCAGAAGUCCUGGGGCCCUGACGUUCAUUUACAGUACCUCAAGACUCCGCAUGGAGAGAGGAAUGUGGGCCAGAAAUCCCAAGACAUUAGUCGGUGUCCUACGGAUAAAAUGGGGAAAGCAAUCCCCUUUUAUUUAUUUUAUUAUUUGCCAAUUUCAAAUAUUUUUCUUAACAAGUCACUUAGUUUAGAGAUUGGAAAUCCUCAUAGCCAAUGAAAUCACAGUUCUCCUUGGCUUCUAAGGAUACUAUUUCGAUGGAGUCAAGAGUUUUCCAAAACUGAAAAUAACCAGAGAAGCACACGACAGAAGGUUCCAGGUGCAUAGCACAGCCUUGUCUAUGUGCUGUGUGCCUCCAGAUUUUCUCUUGUGUCGGGGGCAGCCUGCAUGCUUUUCCUUGUGGCUAAUCUCCUGGGGCAAGUAUACCAGGUUCACGUGGAUAAAGGAGGGACUAGAGCUUCUGAAAGCAUAUUCCGCCUAUGGGACCACUCACUGCUCUUUGUAUUCAAAACACCAUCUUCCCGGAAAAACAAAGCUGGACCCUACCGGUUUGGGAGUCUGAUGCAGUGGACCCCCCAAGAACACUAAGCAAAGCUGUCAUUUACUUGUAUGGUCUUGAAUAUAAAUGUAAGUGGGGAUUAUACUGCCCCUCACACAUUAGUCCCUCCCUUCAGGUUUUUGAAGAUGAAAUGAGAUUCUGAUUGUGAAAGUACUUUAUUAGCCAGAUGUGUUUACAUACGAGCAAGUAGGUGUUGAGUGGUACCUAUGCUUUUUGUUCUUUUUUGAUGUUUGUUGUGCUUUCUGCCUAGCCAGAAGUGUCAGCUCGCCUCUGGAAACCUGGGACUUAGGUGCUGGUUCUACCAGCUCCAAAGGGCUGAAUCAGGCUCAAGCCCCUUUGUUCUUAUCUAGUCUCAGUUUGUGGCUAGGAUGUUGGCAUGAGGGAUUAACCAGUUCCAUGGUAUGACAGGUGAGUCCAGGUACCUGGGAUCCCAUAUUUGGCUUCUGUCUCUCUGCAGUUCUGCAGGGUCCCCUGAUCUCUACUAGGUGCUAACACUUUCCUUCCAAUUCUACCAGCACCUUUACUUUGGGGAGGAAAAUUUCAUUUACAUA